RNAcentral lists this ribosomal RNA (255 nucleotides) under uncultured bacterium. Its description in RNAcentral is "partial 16S ribosomal RNA". It matches the Rfam family "Bacterial small subunit ribosomal RNA", at positions 524 to 777 of the family's 1533-position model. The record is from RNAcentral.
UACGAAGGGGGGCUAGCGUUGCUCGGAAUCACUGGGCGUAAAGCGCACGUAGGCGGAUCGUUAAGUCAGGGGUGAAAUCCUGGAGCUCAACUCCAGAACUGCCUUUGAUACUGGCGAUCUUGAGUUCGGGAGAGGUGAGUGGAACUGCGAGUGUAGAGGUGAAAUUCGUAGAUAUUCGCAAGAACACCAGUGGCGAAGGCGGCUCACUGGCCCGAUACUGACGCUGAGGUGCGAAAGCGUGGGGAGCAAACAGGG